This 459-nucleotide ribosomal RNA is filed under the name uncultured bacterium. Its description in RNAcentral is "partial 16S ribosomal RNA". It matches the Rfam family "Bacterial small subunit ribosomal RNA", at positions 338 to 795 of the family's 1533-position model. The record is from RNAcentral.
CCUACGGGAGGCAGCAGUGAGGAAUAUUGGUCAAUGGCCGCAGGGCUGAACCAGCCAAGUCGCGUGAGGGAUGACGGUCCUAUGGAUUGUAAACCUCUUUUGUCAGGGAGAAAAGGGCGCCACGUGUGGCGUUUUGCGAGUCCCUGAACAAAAAGCAUCGGCUAACUACGUGCCAGCAGCCUCGGUAAUACGGAGGAUGAGAGGGUUAUCGGGAUUUAUUGGGUUAAAAGGGCGCGCAGGGGGGAUGUCACGUCAGCGGUAAAAUGGCGGGGCACAAACCCGUCGUGCCGUUGAAACUGGCGUUCUUGAGUGAGCGAGAAGUAUGCGGAAUGCGUGGUGUAGCGGUGAAAUGCAUAGAUAGCACGCAGAACUCCGAUUGCGAAGGCAGCAUACCGGCGCUCAAAUGACGCUCAUGCACGAAAGCGUGGGUAGCGAACAGGAUUAGAUACCCCUGUAGUC